UCCUGACACACAGCCAACACUGUAUAUGUUAGCUAUUAUUUUUAAAUCAUUAUUAUUAUUACUAGAUCGACAUACAUGUUACGAGGCUGUUAUUCUGGGAGGCAGGUGCUUUUUAUAUAAGAUGCAAAGACAAUUGUGUGGACAUGGGACAAAGGAUAAAAGUUACGCUAUGUUAAGUUGUAAGAGCUGUCCAUAGAGAAAUCUGCAUGGGAUUCAGAAGAGGGAAAUGAAGGAGAAGCCCUUUCUUCAGCUCUCUGAAGGACUCUUCUGCAGCCCUCCAAAGCUGUCGUUCAUCUAUCCGUUCAAGCUGUGGGCCUGGGGUGGUGUCUCCACCAGCCCCAAUGGUCAGCCCCUUCUGGCCUUCGCGUCCUGGGCCGGGCAGGCGUGUAAGGCCAUGGUGAAAAGAGUUCAGCUGCUCCUGUGGCUCACGUAUAUCAUGGGGAUCAGAGGCAAAGAGAAGAGACAAAGUUCUCGUGUACCUUGGAGGUUCUAGACUGUCUUUGGUCUCCCCAAUUCCUGCCUAUCUUCCCAACCACCAGUUCUGCUGACGUCAGGCCUCGUGCCAGAACCAGAAUCAAGGGCCCUUGAGAAUCCUUACUCAGCGCCCACAAUUGCUUAAGGUUUAAUCACAUAAUAAAUCCCUUUUCUGUCCCACUC
This is a long non-coding RNA of Acinonyx jubatus (cheetah), 657 nucleotides long. RefSeq lists it as uncharacterized. The transcript is spliced from 2 exons. The record is from RefSeq and is a predicted model, not a curated record. Lineage: Eukaryota; Metazoa; Chordata; Mammalia; Carnivora; Felidae.